AGGAGAUCUUGGUGGCCUCAGAUACUUCCUAGUUGUGUGACCCUGGGCAAGUCACUUAACCCCCCAUUGCCUAGCCUUUACCACAUUUCUGCCUUGGACUUGGUACUUAGUAUCCAUUCUAAGACAGAAAAUAAGGGGAAGAGAGAAAAACAGAAAGAGGAGAGACAGAGAUGGAGAGAGAGAAGAAGAAGAAGAAGAAGAAGAAGAAGAAGAAGAAGAAGAAGAAGAAGAAGAAGAAGAAGAAGAAGAAGAAAGAAAGAAAGAAAGAAAGAAAGAAAGAAAGAAAGAAAGAAAGAAAGAAAGAAAGAAAGAAAGAAAGAAAGAAAGAAAGAAAGAAAGAAAGAAAGAAAGAAAGAAAGAAAGAAAGAAAGAAAGAAAGAAAGAAAGAAAGAAAGAAAGAAAGAAAGAAAGAAAGAAAGAAAGAAAGAAAGAAAGAAAGAAAGAAAGAAGAAGGAAGAAAGAAAGAAAGAAAGAAAGAAAGAAAGAAAGAAAGAAAGAAAGAAAGAAAGAAAGAAAGAAAGAAAGAGAGAGAGAGAGAGAGAGAGAGAGAGAGAGAGAGAGAGAGAGAAAGAGAGAGAGAGAGAGAGAAAGAAAGAAAGAAAGGAAGAAAGACAGAAAGACAAAAAAGAGAAAAACAGAGAGAGGGAGGAAGGAAGGAAACAAGAGAAACAGAAAGGAAGGAAGGAAGAAAAGAAAUGUUCUUCCCAUUUUAUAGAUGAGGAAAUCAAGACUGAGCAAUUUGCUUAGGGUCAUGAAGCUAGUGAAUGUCUAAAGCCAAUUUCAGCCUGGGUUUCCAGACUGAAUCUAGAACUCCUUCCACUAUGCUAUAGUGGUAAUUAUUUUCAGGCAUGCAUGUCUUCUCUCAAAUAUUAUCUGUUAAGACAGAGUAUGGGAGGCAGUCAAGAUGGCGACUUAAAGACAGCAACAGCUAAGACCUCCGUAAACCCUUCCUCACCAAUCAAAUCCACAAUGCUUUGAGGGGACUAAAAACCAAAUCUAACAACAAGACAGAGCUAAGGAACCCUCCUCCUAGACCCAACUUAAAAGAUAUGCCCCCCUCAAAAGCCUGAACUUUAGAACAUGCGAGUUUAAGGGGAGGAAGAAGGAAGAUCCCAGGACCCUUCCCCUACCUACAGCACUAAGCCUCCAGCGGUGGCUGGAAUCUCUGUACAGGCAAGGGCACUAGUUCAGAGGGAGUACCUUACCAGCAAAGCUGUGCCAGUCUCAGGGCAUAGAACACAGGUGGCUUAGAGUCAGCUGGAGGAAAAGCUAAGAGCAGGCAGCCCAAUUGCAGCCAAGAUGUUCCUUCUUGACCCCACCCCUUUCUGGAGUUUUUGGCUUCAGAGCACAUCCAGCUUUGCAGUUCAACUCCUCCACCCUUCCUCAUUCCCAUCAAUACAGCAGAUAAGAAGCCUUUUGAGGGCAGGGAAGCUCAAGCUCCAACACCCCUCCCCCACAGACUGAUCUGAGAGCCUUGCUGACUAAGACCCAAGGACAAAAGCUACAACAAACUACAGGAAACAACCUUGACAACAGGGCGGGAACUCCAGCUCCUUCUCAGCUUCUGCUGUCAACCUGGAAAGAUUUGACUAACCUGAUCAAUCAGCAGAACAGAGAAGAAGCCCCUUCAGUUCAGAACAGCCCAAAACCACAGCUCCAGAACAUAAUGAGAGGAGCAAGACUAUAGGCAAAUACAGGGGGGAAAGAAGAGGGAAAUAUGAGUAAACACCAGAAAAAGGAAAAAAAAAUUACAAUCGACAGCUUCUAUCCAGGCAAUGAGCAAAGAGCAAAUGAAACAGAGAAAGAUCAAGGAACACCAAGCAAAAACACAGAAAUUCCAGCGAAUUGGACACAGGCUUUGGAAGGAAUUCAAAAUACAAUCCUAAAUUAAUUAAGAGAGGCUGAAGACAACUGGGAAAAGAACUUAAAAAGCAGAAUAAAUCAUCUGGAAACAGAAAAUAGUAUCUUGAA
RNAcentral lists this long non-coding RNA (1971 nucleotides) under Monodelphis domestica (gray short-tailed opossum). RNAcentral describes it as "lncRNA (ENSMODG00000037123.1)". Lineage: Eukaryota; Metazoa; Chordata; Mammalia; Didelphimorphia; Didelphidae. The record is from RNAcentral.